Molecule: small nucleolar RNA, 81 nt
Organism: Plasmodium relictum
Lineage: Eukaryota; Apicomplexa; Aconoidasida; Haemosporida; Plasmodiidae
Product: small nucleolar RNA snoR23
Exons: 1
Source: RefSeq, a predicted model, not a curated record
UGCAAAUGAUGAAUAAAAAAAUAAAUAACUUUCGUUCUUCUGUAUUUUUGGAAAUGAAGAUAAAUUUAGUAUCUGAUGCAA